AAAUUUACUAUCUGAUAGAUAAAAAUUGAAUUUUACUUUUAAGUGAAAAGGCUUAAUUAAUUUAAGGUGACGAUAAGACCCUAUAAAACUUUAUUACAAUAUAAUAGAAAUAAAAAUAUUAAUAAUAUAUUUAUAUUAUAUUAUAAUUUAAUUGGGGCGAUUGAGAUAUAUAAGUAACUGUUUUUAUGAUUAUAUAAUUAUAAUUAGAUUAUGAUCCUUUUUAUGGAUUAGAAGGCUAAGUUACUUUAGGGAUAACAGCGUGAUUUUUCUAGAGAGUUCAUAUCGAUAGAAGUAGUUGCGACCUCGAUGUUGAAUUAAAUUUUCUUUUAGGUGUAGCAGCUUAGAUAGUAGGUCUGUUCGACCUUUUAAAAUUUACAUGAUCUGAGUUCAAACCGG
This 396-nucleotide ribosomal RNA is filed under the name Paralatreutes bicornis. Its description in RNAcentral is "partial large subunit ribosomal RNA". It matches the Rfam family "Bacterial large subunit ribosomal RNA", at positions 2048 to 2619 of the family's 2925-position model. Lineage: Eukaryota; Metazoa; Arthropoda; Malacostraca; Decapoda; Hippolytidae. The record is from RNAcentral.